GACGAACGCUGGCGGCGUGCUUAACACAUGCAAGUCGAACGGAAAGGCCCUGCUUUUGUGGGGUGCUCGAGUGGCGAACGGGUGAGUAACACGUGAGUAACCUGCCCUUGACUUUGGGAUAACUUCAGGAAACUGGGGCUAAUACCGGAUAGGAGCUCCUGCUGCAUGGUGGGGGUUGGAAAGUUUCGGCGGUUGGGGAUGGACUCGCGGUUUAUCAGCUUGUUGGUGGGGUAGUGGCUUACCAAGGCUUUGACGGGUAGCCGGCCUGGGAGGGUCGCCGGCCACAUUGGGACUGCGAUACGCCCCAGACGCCUACGGGACGCAGCAGUGGAGAAUAUUGCACAAUGGGCGGAAGCCUGAUGCAGCAACGCCGCGUGCGGGAUGACGGCCUUCGGGUUGUAAACCGCUUUCGCCUGUGCCGAAGCGUGAGUGACGGUAAUGGGUAAAGAAGCACCGGCUAACUACGUG
RNAcentral lists this ribosomal RNA (468 nucleotides) under uncultured bacterium. Its description in RNAcentral is "partial 16S ribosomal RNA". It matches the Rfam family "Bacterial small subunit ribosomal RNA", at positions 28 to 507 of the family's 1533-position model. The record is from RNAcentral.